This 215-nucleotide ribosomal RNA is filed under the name uncultured bacterium. RNAcentral's name for it is "partial 16S ribosomal RNA". It matches the Rfam family "Bacterial small subunit ribosomal RNA", at positions 28 to 245 of the family's 1533-position model. The record is from RNAcentral.
GACGAACGCUGGCGGCGUGCUUAACACAUGCAAGUCGAGCGGUAAGGCCCUUUCGGGGGUACACGAGCGGCGAACGGGUGAGUAACACGUGGGUGACCUGCCCUCAGCUCUGGGAUAAGCCCGGGAAACUGGGUCUAAUACCGGAUAUGACUCCAUGACGCAUGUUGUGGGGUGGAAAGCCUUGUGCGGCUGAGGAUGGGCCCGCGCCUAUCAGC